RNAcentral lists this non-coding RNA (23 nucleotides) under Arabidopsis thaliana (thale cress). The record is from RNAcentral. Lineage: Eukaryota; Viridiplantae; Streptophyta; Magnoliopsida; Brassicales; Brassicaceae.
GGGCUUCGAAUGGGCCUUCUCUU